Molecule: long non-coding RNA, 562 nt
Organism: Amphiprion ocellaris (clown anemonefish)
Lineage: Eukaryota; Metazoa; Chordata; Actinopteri; Pomacentridae
Source: Ensembl
UUGUUUUAACCAGUUUUCUACCUUCGGCUGAUUCUACCAGCAGACACUGAAAGGACUCUGAUAGUUUGGUCCCUCUCUAUCUCCCCACACAUCCACCAACCACUGGAACACAUCUCCAAAGUUCUGCCGGGCCAGCUCAGCUUCCAUUCAGAAGAAGUUCCACCAGAUGAAGGAGCCUUUUGAGAGGCAGCUGGCAUCGUGAUUGGACUGUACUUUGGUCUGUUCCAAUCCAGCUUCAGCUCCAGAGACGGCAGGCGGGACGAGUCAACGGAGGCCGGGUGGACGAAGGCAUGCAGCUGAGUACAAUCCAGAAAACAACAGAGGAGGAGUGCAGCAGCCCAGAGCCAGAACAAACAGAGUAGCAUCGUAUGUCUCUUAGAAAACAUCAUAGUAUAGCCUUUGGUAUGAAAAAACACCAUCAUAUACAUCGUAUAUUGUACAAAUAAGUCAAAGGAAAGAGACAUACAUUGUAGAAUUGUAGUAAUUGUGGGCUGACUGAUUUACUGAUUAUCAGUAUUUUAUUUUUUACCGAUUUACAGUAAUAAAUCCAUUUAAAAAUGGC